GAUGAAGAACGUAGCGAAAUGCGAUAAGUAAUGCGAAUUGCAGAAUUUCCGUGAGUCAUCGAAUCUUUGAACGCACAUUGCGCCCCCUGGUAUUCCGGGGGGCAUGCCUGUUCGAGCGUCAUUACAACCCUCAAGCUCUGCUUGGUAUUGGGCCCCGCCAGUUCUGGCGGGCCCUAAAGUCAGUGGCGGUGCCUUCCGGCUCCGAGCGUAGUAAUUCUUCUCGCUCUGGAGACCCGGUUGUGUGCUUGCCAACAACCCCCAAUUUUUUAAGGUUGACCUCGGAUCAGGUAGGGAUACCCGCUGAACUUAAGCAUAUCAAUAAGCGGAGGA
This 330-nucleotide unclassified non-coding RNA is filed under the name soil metagenome. RNAcentral describes it as "partial contains 5.8S ribosomal RNA, internal transcribed spacer 2, and large subunit ribosomal RNA". The stretch from base 1 to 121 matches the Rfam family "5.8S ribosomal RNA", at positions 35 to 154 of the family's 154-position model. The record is from RNAcentral.